This is a non-coding RNA of Setomelanomma holmii, 86 nucleotides long. Lineage: Eukaryota; Fungi; Ascomycota; Dothideomycetes; Pleosporales; Phaeosphaeriaceae. The record is from the annotation of a GenBank genome assembly.
GGGCGUGUGGCUCAGUGGUAGAGCGUCCGCUUUGCAUAGUUUGUGUAUCUUGCGGAAGGUCCAGGUUUCGAUCACCUGCCCGUCCA